AUCUAGCUGACGAGUCCCAGAUAGGACGAAACGUGCAUCCAGGAU
RNAcentral lists this non-coding RNA (45 nucleotides) under Schistosoma margrebowiei. Lineage: Eukaryota; Metazoa; Platyhelminthes; Trematoda; Strigeidida; Schistosomatidae. The record is from RNAcentral.